UGAGCAAAUUCGACCCUGCAGAUCAGCA
RNAcentral lists this unclassified non-coding RNA (28 nucleotides) under Mus musculus (house mouse). RNAcentral describes it as "oocyte_clustered_small_RNA425". Lineage: Eukaryota; Metazoa; Chordata; Mammalia; Rodentia; Muridae. The record is from RNAcentral.